Molecule: long non-coding RNA, 457 nt
Filed under: Homo sapiens (human)
Lineage: Eukaryota; Metazoa; Chordata; Mammalia; Primates; Hominidae
Description: non-protein coding TP53TG1:19
Source: RNAcentral
AGUGGGACCCGACCCUGUCUCCAGUGGGCGUCUUGGGCCCCGGCUCUAUUCUGGGCUGCGGGCCUGGGAAGGGCUCGCCGGGUGCCAAAUGAGCUGUCCUAACUCUGCGGGGCUGCAGCUUCCUGCAUGAUGCUGGGGAGCUUGGCGCCUGACCCAGGAUCUAGAAGGCACUCUGGGCAGGCCGCGCUCCGCCCACGAAGGUUUAACCACCAAGGACUCUGAGAGCUGGCAGGUCUGAGUAACCCUGGUAACAAUUCUCUUCACCUUAUCAAAACCUGAGCUAAAACCAAUGCAUCAGCUGAUGAUGACAGCAGAGAGUGGCAGGGCUGAGGACCCAAAGUCAUUUCCCAGGCUGGCGGAGAAUAAACUGCCAGGGAGAAGAAUGAGAAGACAGGAGACAAACUGUUUGGAAAGCUAAAUCUUCCCUCUUAAUGAAUAAAGGUUUUUGCCUUGUCUU